AGAGUUUGAUCCUGGCUCAGAGCGAACUCUGGCGGCAGGCUUAACACAUGCAAGUCGAGCGCCGUAGCAAUACGGAGCGGCAGACGGGAGAGUAACGCGUGGGAACAUACCCUCCGGUACGGAAUAACUCAGGGAAACUUGAGCUAAUACCGUAUACGGCUUAGCGGCGAAAGAUUUAUCGCCGGAGGAUUGGCCCGCGU
RNAcentral lists this ribosomal RNA (200 nucleotides) under uncultured bacterium. RNAcentral describes it as "partial 16S ribosomal RNA". It matches the Rfam family "Bacterial small subunit ribosomal RNA", at positions 8 to 236 of the family's 1533-position model. The record is from RNAcentral.